UACGAAGGGUGCAAGCGUUACUCGGAAUUACUGGGCGUAAAGCGUGCGUAGGUGGUUUGUUAAGUCUGUUGUGAAAGCCCCGGGCUCAACCUGGGAAUGGCAAUGGAUACUGGCAAGCUAGAGUGCGGUAGAGGGUAGUGGAAUUCCCGGUGUAGCGGUGAAAUGCGUAGAGAUCGGGAGGAACACCCGUAGCGGAGGCGGCACUCUGGGCCGGUACUGACGCUGAGGAGCGAAAGCGUGGGGAGCAAACAGG
Molecule: ribosomal RNA, 253 nt
Filed under: uncultured bacterium
Lineage: Bacteria
Description: partial 16S ribosomal RNA
Rfam family: Bacterial small subunit ribosomal RNA
Source: RNAcentral